Haplochromis burtoni (Burton's mouthbrooder) is the source of this 6835-nucleotide long non-coding RNA. RefSeq lists it as uncharacterized. The transcript is spliced from 8 exons. Lineage: Eukaryota; Metazoa; Chordata; Actinopteri; Cichliformes; Cichlidae. The record is from RefSeq and is a predicted model, not a curated record.
ACAAGUUUUGUGAGGUGCUUUCGUGAUAUUUAACGGAUCGGAUUACAUUUUUUAUUUCUCUCCGAUAUCCCAUCCAGUAAUUUAGGUCAGUAUCGGACUGAUACCGAUAUGUAAUAUCAGAUCGGUCCAUCUCUAAUUCAGACACGUGAGGUUGUGCUGAAAAGGAUGAUACCAAACCAGGCAAAGUAAAAAGUUUUUAUGGGUAAAAUCUAAAAUAGUACAAAAUGGCCAAUGUUUUUUUGUUUUUUUUUAAAGUAACGCAAUAGUUACUUUUCAAGUAAUUUAUUACUCCAUUACUAACUCAUUUACUUUUUUGAAGAAGUAACUAGAAACUAUAAUUAAUUACUUUUUCAAAGUAACUUGCCCAACACUGCUUGUCACCAUGACAGGUGCCUGGAGUGGAGUGUUAAAAAGAAAGAUGACCUAUCUAAGGUUAGGGUUGUGUCUCGUUUCAGCGGCAUGCUGAAAAACUGUGGCGUGUUAACAUAAUGCGAACCCAACCACUAAGACUGAGCUUUUAUGUUUCGUUAAGUUAAGGAUUGUGAAGGUACUGCAGGUGGGCUCCAGUAAUAACACAAAUUCAGUUUGAAAGUGAUCAAAAAUUUAUACGUUUUCAUAUGUAAUAAAUGUAUUUAUUUCUAUAAAAAGUGAAGUAAAACCCUGGUUAGUUGGCUCAAUACUCUGACCAAAAUUUACUGUUCUUCUAUUGAAGUUUGUGUCCCAGUGGCAGGCGAGUCACACGUUGCCCUUAACACUUUGCAUUUGACUGGGUCGCAUUAGCAAUUUAUAGCCAGCAGCCUGUGUUAUUUGCAUUUUUUUAAAAUAAGAAUUUCAAGGAAAUCCAUGAAGUUCUCUUUUAAUUUGAUUAGAGUGCAGAUUUAAGAUUGGGCCUGUGGGAUCUUCUGUCUCCUUUUAAGGACGCUGCUGCACUCUCAACUUUGGGAAAGGCUGUGAUAAACUAUCCGACAUAUAUAAGUUACAUCGUUCUGCUGUAUUCCUGUAUUACAUGUCACAAGUCAAGAUCUGCCAUCUCUGUUACUGGAAUCACAUUCCUACAUUUCCACAUAUGGAAACCUUAUUGUUCCAAGACAAAGCUGUGGACUUGUCCUUUAAAUGUGCCCUGCUCGAGUGGUUUAAUCAGACCCAACACGACUCCUUGCCGUGAAGUUCCCUUGAAUCAAGUCAUCUGGAUGUCAUCAUGGGCAUAUGGACACCAUAUUGUGUCCGACAGUGGCGACUACUGCCGUGUGGUUUCACCACAGGAAAGUGGUAGCUCUUGAAGUGUUGUGAAUUCAGCACUUUGCAAGUGUAGACUGUUUGUCUGCGAGAGUCCCUAUGGGCUGCGCACCACUCACACCCUCUUGUGUACACAGAUUGUUUAGUCAGCCUUAAACAGCCACACAUGCAUGAUGUACAGUACUUGCUGCUAAUGUAUACACACAUGCAGGAAUGCACACAUUCUUUUAGUAAAGCUAAAUCAACCGUGCGAGAGCCCUACAUCUGCCUUAAAUCAGGACUGAUCAGUCUCCCCAAUCAACCAUUUUGGCCCCCUUCAAAAUGCUCCAUUUCCUGACCCUCAUCUCUCUCUUUCUUUUUCUCUCUUUUCGCUAUUAGUCAACCCCCCCCCCCCUCUGAUUCUUUUUUAACAACCCUUCUCCAAACACUGCGACUGCCAGGUUUGUCAGCCGGUGUAGAUUUAGCUGCCUUGUCAGUAGCGCUGCUGUCCUAAUCUCUAUCACAGCCUCAACUCUGGCCUUGAGGAAUGAUCAGACAGAGAAUGAAAGAGGGUGAGAGAGAAGCAGAUUUUGAGCCAGAAUAGCUUUCUUUUUUCGUUCUGCUUUUUUUCUCAAAUAAGCAAAUAUGUAAAGUGGCAAAGGCCCAGUGCAGACCUACCCGAGAGAUGUUUAUGACUAGAAAGCUGCAGCCUCCCCUUGGCCCUUUGAAAGAAAGAGAAGAGGUUGGAAGGAGGGAGGCGGGGGGUUCAGAGGGGAGGCAGACUUGGCACAAUGCUCCGACUAGUGUUCUGAAUUAGCAAAGGCCUCGUUCACCCCCACUCCUGCCCCUUUGUACCUUCUCCCCUUUAUUUUCUUUAUCUUUCACUCUUUGAUUUUUUCCCCCCUUCCUCCUAAUGGCUCACGGCUCGUCAUAAAGUAGGCUAAUUUAUGGAAGCUUGACUGCGUUGGCCUAUGAUUUUAAGGAUCACAUUAGGAACAUAAGCUUCUUUUUGGCUUUUGUGCCAGAUGAUUAGGCUGUAAUUAUGUUCACAACGUUGGGUCAGUAUUGUGCUGACUUACUUAGUACACAGGACACGUUCGUUUCUAAAGAUUGAAAGAUGCUUGAAACAUCUAUAUAUGAUUCCUUUUGUUGCUAGUAAAUACUAUAAGUUGAAGUUUGUACUUAAACAUUCAAACCUUGAAACACAAGUCCACCAGUUAGGUUCUAAUGGUUGGAAGAAAUGCAGUGAUGUAAUGGCCAUAUAACAUCCAAGUGCACUGUUGGACCCUUAAAGCAUAUCUUUUUUAUGUUCCUACCAUUUCAGGUGCACAUUAGAGGGUUCUGUGUGUGUAUUCUGCAACUGGUCCCAAAUAAACCUUUACCAAGAAGUGGAUCUUUCUUACACCUUUUUUCCACCAAGCAAUAAGACUGGUAAAAACAAACAUUUGGUCUCUAUAGCUAAUUUCCCCCAACGCAACAACUGUGAAUUUCAUUAUAAGACAUCCAUUUGGAUUGAAUUUAGUGCAGUGUCUGCUUUCUUUGACAGGUGUUCUCCAAAUUGGUGGCUGGUAAGCAUCACCUCUGCUAAUUCACAUGACCAAACUGGACCUCUUGAUCAUAUUUGUCCUUUUGUUGUCUUUCGUAGGAUUUUUUAAAUGGAACUGUCUGAAAUAAUAUGGCUGACUGUGAGGUACAGCCCCUCUGAGAGGUUUGUCCUACAACUUUGUGUGAGUGGAAAUGGGGCAUGCAGGCAUGGCGGGAGUGCUGGGAGGAGAGAAAGCAGCCAGGGUGGCACGUUGACUGGAGGAUCGCCAACCGCUCUCAAACAGCAUGCAACAGGCGUGGGCAGUAAUGCCUGUGUGAUUGGGCUGUGCUGGGUGAUGAUUUUAAUAAACACACACCCGCAGAGGUGGCCACAGGUCAACCGUGUUUGGAUUCAUCAGGUGCACAGAAUGAGCCAGGUCCCAGCAGAGAUGCUUCUUACAACAGAGGGGACUCCCAAACCUAAUAUCCACAACACAGAGGCUCCUGCUAUGAAGUGGUUGAGCGGUUUUCCUUCUCUGAUGUCCUCCCCGAGCACUGGAAAGAGCACAGAUCGAGCCAGCACAGACAAAUCCUUGCAGAGCUGCUAUGAAUGUGCUCCUGCUGGCAGAGGUGACAAACAGACAUACGCUGCCCUCAGUGGACACUUCCUGUAGAUGCAACACAUUUAACAGGAAACAGUGCUGCAAGCCCAGCUGUCAACAUUAAAGUCACCGAAAUAGAAUGAUCUGAAUAACUGAGAAUCCUCCUGGCCCACUGUUUAGCAGUCUCAUCUCCUUCUCAGUGAGUUUGGUAAGUACACAAAUGCAAAUCAUGGUAAAGUCUGCUUUACAAAAAACAGGAUGCUUUGAAGCUAAAAAAAACAGUCAUGUAGCACUCCAGUGCUUUCUUUUAUCUAACUGAAAUGUGAGGGGAGUAAAGGUGCUUGAGUACAUGUUUAUUUUAUGGACAACUUCAGAUCUACAUACUAAAUAUUUAUAUUGCAUACGUCCAUGGAUUGUAUGUAAUCAUCUCUGUUUAAUGCAACUCUUCAGAGAAAUGAAUGCAGUGGGUUUUGGUCAGUGGUUGUUGAUCAAUGGUCAUGAGAAUUUGCAUAAUUAUGAUUAAGGAACUGACCUCCCAGCCCAUUGUUCCUUCAGUGGCCUGGUUUCAGUCAGUAUGCCAAUGUGCUGUUUAUAAGAUUGGGGAAACCUGCAGUCAGCUGAAGAAGUCACUUAGAUGAGUGACGAAACGUUUCUCCCACAAAACGCUACGUCCAGAUGAACAGAAUCAACUUUUGGAGACCUUUAGGAGCUGCAUUUAUUUCAUUAACCCACGAAUUUUCACCUUGAAAAAAGUAUGCUCAUAAAUAACAUUUUUAUGGCUUUGAGCCCUAAAAUCUGAGAUUAUUUUUAAUAAUCCUGGCCAGUAGCACACCGGCCAUAUUGCUGAUUAAUGUAUGAACUGUAUUUAUCUACAUUUUUCCAAAUGUCACUUUUAAUCUGAGCCAAGGUUGUGAUUAUAGAGAAAGUUAAGGACUUCAUUUGAAGUUAUCAACGCCUGGUUGAAACUAGCCUUUUGGCCUUUGCAAGCUUUCCCUUUACCCAACUUCUUACUUAACAAGGCCAGGCUGAAAAAUCCACAGAUCUAAUUGAAUAUUGAUAUGUGUGUGUAUAGAGGCCCAGAGCGAGGCUUGCCCAUGUUAAGCCAUUCAGUGCAUCCUCUUGAUUGAAAUUCCAUUAGCUUGUUAGUAGAGGAUAGUGGAGAGUCGGUGAAUACUUAGCCUUGUUAGCCGAGGCGCAGGCUAAAUGAGUGUGCACAGGGUCAUUGUCCACUUAAAACUCACUCUGCAAACCGGCGGGCAGCUUGAAUAAUUCAUGGAGCAUGACCUGCGCUGACUGGGCUUUAAACGAGUGUAGCUUCUCUGUCUGUCUGUUUGGAUAAUAUCUCCACUCUGGAGUUAAUUAAGUUUUCAUUUUUUUUUUAUUUCAGCCAGCUGUGUGUACAGCGGUCAGAGACUUGUCCCUGUGGAGACACUGAAAGCCAAAUGAAAAGCGAAUGGAGAAAAAAUGAUUGCAAUAUAAAGUUAUAAAUGGAGCUUUUUCUUCUCCUAUCUCAUCAUACAGGAAGCACAUUAGCCCAUUAAUUAGAAGCCAUUACCUGUCUCUGUUCAACAGGUUUCAGAAAACUGUUUAUUCUAUAGGAACUGGAUGUUGCAACCUUUGAAACAAAUAACAGUAAAGUUGAAUGGCAUUUGAGACCAAGCUCUGAUAAAGCUUCUCAUUCAGAUAAUCUUUUGCAAAAACCCUCCAAAAUUUCAAGGCAGUUCAUGAAAGGUUACUCAUAAGUAGUUUUAGACUAAACAUAAAUCAAAUGAAUAUGCCUAGAUCAAAGAAACAUCAAGUAGGAGAAAAUAAGCAACAUUCUACAAGUACAAGUACAAACGAUGCAGUCUGUAGAAACCUGCAGUCCUAUUGUCAGUUAUAAGUCCUGUAUAAUAAAGCACCUCCGUGGAAGCCUCCAUUCCCAUAAAUGAAACAUUUCUCAGCUGUUUGUGUUUUUAGCCCUUGACACUGCACUUUAAAGGUCCUUUGGUAUGCCACUUUUCUCCACUCAGAGGCGCUACAUGCCACCAGGUAAGGCAGACAACUGCUUGGGGCUCCAGGCCAUUGGGGGUACCCCUGAGGGCUGACAUAACUUAAACUCCAGCAGUGGCAGUUUAUAGUGACAGAAGAAAAGAAAUGACCUUCUUUGGGGGGGUCCCACCUGACUCCAGUCACCCCUGUUGCAAAUGGUGUGCAUGUUUCUGCUUAAACAAACUUAAUAAGAACAAAGAAAGAGUCAAUAAAAAUAUAGAAGACUUGUUCUUUGGAGAAGAGAAGGAAGAAAUAAAAGAGGUAAAAAGUAAAACACUGGUGAGGAGUUUUGUACAGAAAUUCCACUAUAGCCUUACUUUAUUUCAUUUAUUGAUGGACUGGUUGUUAUAUAGCGCUUUUCUACUCUAACUUAGCACUAAAAGUAUUUAUACAACUUGCCUCAUUCAUACCCAUUCAUACAAGCACUUCUUGACAUGCUUUUUCCACGUACGUGCUUUUUAUCUAACAUUCAGACACCUCCUGAGCCACAGCCACCCUUAGCUAUCUUGGCUAGCAGAGCAGCCUAUUGUGUUGAGUCAAGGACACACUAGGAUGCGAGGAGUUGACUGUUUAACAAAGCAACAAGUUCUCCAAUUCUGACAUAUAUCUAUGUUUUUAUUCCUUCAAUUAUGCACCAAAGUAGUGUCCUACAAUGCAAUGUGACUAGCGCUUCACUUUUUAUCAAGAUUCCUGCAUGGCAUCUAAUGGAAACACUCCACUGAGAAGAGAUGCCAUGCCUUUUUAUGACCAACUUUUUAUUAUUGAAAUGGUGUGUUAAAACAAAUAUCUCAGAGCAGAACCAGACAAAAAGGCCCAAAGACAAAAUGACAAUGAAUAAUACAAUAACUAUAUUAUUAGUUAUGCAUUUUAGCAUUCAUUUAUUUGUUGUGCUUCAUAGAGGUUCUUACUGCACCCAAAAUGUGUACGGCUAACCACCAGCAGCAUUAACGCUAAAGAAAGAAAAAUAACAGAAACUUCUGGCUUCCGGUUGAACAGCCAUACACUGUACAUUUACUGCUGUACAUACAUCUCUCUAUGUCAGCAUCGUCAGCAGUAGUUAUCUAAUAGUUAGUUAAUAGUAGUUAGCUAAUGACGAGCUUGGUUAAGGAUUUAUAAUGUAUUUAUUUAUAACUAUUUAUAAUAGUCCACAAAUUGAGUAGGGUGGAAGAAUCUGUUUCAUUAAUGAAACAAAUACUAAGCUGCUUGUAUCCGCGUUCUCGUUCUUUUGGUCACUACUCACAGCUCGUGACCAUAGGUGAGGGUAGGGACAUAGAUCGACCAGUAAACUGAGAGCUUCACUUUUACACUCAGCUCUCUCUUCACCACGAUGGACCAGUACAGCGUUUGCAUCACUGCAGCUGCAGCACCAACCUGUCUGUCGAUCUCCCACUCCCUUCUCUCAUCACAUGAUCUUAUAUCGUUGUGUUGGUGUUGUUCCCAGAUCAUCAUAAUAAUUGUUGUUC